AACGAACGCUGGCGGCAUGCCUAACACAUGCAAGUCGAACGAGACCUUCGGGUCUAGGGGCGCACGGGUGCGUAACGCGUGGGAACCUGCCCUUAGGUUCGGAAUAACUCCCCGAAAGGGGUGCUAAUACCGGAUAAUGUCUUCGGACCAAAGAUGUAUCGCCUUUGGAUGGGCCCGCGUUGGAUUAGCCAGUUGGUAGGGUAAAAGCCUACCAAGGCGACGAUCCAUAGCUGGUCUGAGAGGAUGAUCAGCCGCACUGGGACUGAGACACGGCCCAGACUCCUACGGAAGGCAGCGGUAGGGAGUAUUAGGGGAGGAGCGAAAGCCUAGUCCAGCAGUGCCGCGGGAGAGAUGAAGGCCUUAGGGUUGUAAAGCUCUUUUACCCGGGAUGAUAAUGACGGUACCGGGAAAAUAAGCUCCGGCUAACUACGUG
This 433-nucleotide ribosomal RNA is filed under the name uncultured bacterium. RNAcentral describes it as "partial 16S ribosomal RNA". It matches the Rfam family "Bacterial small subunit ribosomal RNA", at positions 29 to 507 of the family's 1533-position model. The record is from RNAcentral.